RNAcentral lists this ribosomal RNA (660 nucleotides) under Serratia ureilytica. RNAcentral describes it as "partial 23S ribosomal RNA". It matches the Rfam family "Bacterial large subunit ribosomal RNA", at positions 1 to 695 of the family's 2925-position model. The record is from RNAcentral. Lineage: Bacteria; Pseudomonadati; Pseudomonadota; Gammaproteobacteria; Enterobacterales; Yersiniaceae.
GGGUUGUGAGGUUAAGUGACUAAGCGUACACGGUGGAUGCCUAGGCAGUCAGAGGCGAUGAAGGGCGUGCUAAUCUGCGAAAAGCGUCGGUAAGGUGAUAUGAACCGUUACAACCGGCGAUACCCGAAUGGGGAAACCCAGUGUGUUUCGACACACUAUCAUGUCAUGAAUACAUAGUGGCAUGAGGCGAACCGGGGGAACUGAAACAUCUAAGUACCCCGAGGAAAAGAAAUCAACCGAGAUUCCCCCAGUAGCGGCGAGCGAACGGGGAGGAGCCCAGAACCUGAAUCGGCUUGUGUGUUAGUGGAAGCGUCUGGAAAGUCGCGCAGCAAAGGGUGAUAGCCCCGUACACUAAAAUGCACAGGUCGUGAGUUCGAUGAGUAGGGCGGGACACGUGACAUCCUGUCUGAAUAUGGGGGGACCAUCCUCCAAGGCUAAAUACUCCUGACUGACCGAUAGUGAACCAGUACCGUGAGGGAAAGGCGAAAAGAACCCCGGCGAGGGGAGUGAAAUAGAACCUGAAACCGUGUACGUACAAGCAGUGGGAGCACCUUCGUGGUGUGACUGCGUACCUUUUGUAUAAUGGGUCAGCGACUUAUAUUUUGUAGCAAGGUUAACCGUAUAGGGGAGCCGUAGGGAAACCGAGUCUUAACUGGGCGA